GCAUAUCAAUAAGCGGAGGAAAAGAAAAUAACAAUGAUUCCCUUAGUAACGGCGAGUGAAGGGGGAAAAGCUCAAAUUUUAAAUCUGCUAGGUUUUACUUAUCAGAAUUGUAAUUUGAAGAAGCGUUUUCCGCGUCUCGGUUGGCCCAAAUCCUUUGGGAUAAGGUAUCAUGGAGGGUGAGAAUCCCGUUCGGUUGACCUUAUGACGCUCUACGAUACGCUCUCUAAGAGUCGAGUUGUUUGGGAUUGCAGCUCAAAAUGGGAGGUAAAUUUCUCCUAAGGCUAAAUAUCGGCGAGAGACCGAUAGCGAACAAGUACCGUGAGGGAAAGAUGAAAAGAACUUUGAAAAGAGAGUAAAAUAGUACGUGAAAUUGUUGAAAGGGAAACGAUUGAAGUCAGUCGUACCGACGAGAAAUCAACUUAUCGUGUGCGAACUUGUGGGCGUGCGCGAGUUUCGGCCUCGCUGUUUGCAUGUUUGUGCGUUUUGGGUGUACUUUUUCGUAUGGUAGGCCAACGUCAGUUUCGAUUAUCAUAAAAUGACCGGCGGAAUGUAGCUUCGAUUUCGGUUGAAGUGUUAUAGCCUCUGGUAGACGUGGUGAUUGAGACUGAGGAUUGCAACGAAUACCCUUUGGGCUAUCCGUCUGGCCUCUGAAAGUUGCUCAGGUGCCGAAAGCGUGCUUACGGUCAUCUGAGAUAAUGUUCAACAGGUUAGAACGUGAUUACAUUCGUUAAGGAUGUUGACGUA
This 744-nucleotide ribosomal RNA is filed under the name uncultured fungus. RNAcentral describes it as "eukaryotic LSU rRNA". It matches the Rfam family "Eukaryotic large subunit ribosomal RNA", at positions 38 to 633 of the family's 3401-position model. Lineage: Eukaryota; Fungi. The record is from RNAcentral.